This 1079-nucleotide long non-coding RNA is filed under the name Piliocolobus tephrosceles (Ugandan red Colobus). RNAcentral describes it as "lncRNA (ENSPTEG00000006981.1)". The record is from RNAcentral. Lineage: Eukaryota; Metazoa; Chordata; Mammalia; Primates; Cercopithecidae.
CGGGAACAUCACCUUUGCAAAUUCAUCUCUUGCCUGCAAUAUGAGGAAUAUCUCCGGCUUUGUUUCUCUAUUAUAAUAGAUGUAAAUUAAUGUUUUGCCUUUGUUUGCCGUGGUAAUCAUAGAGGCAAGUGUAUAUUCCUAACAGCUAUCUUAUUUUCAAUUUGCAAAGCAUACUGUGCUUAAUCCCACGAGCCAGCCCAUGGCUUCAGAUAUGAAUUUUAAAAGAUAAUUAGCCCAGUGCAGGAGGUGCUCUCUGAGACAAGGAGUGUGCACCAAAGUCUGGUCAGAAGAGUCCUUUGGGGGACCCCGUUGGGUCACAGAUUCUCCACCAACCCCCGUGGUUUAUUACUUUUUUUCAUUGCUGCUGUCUUUGUGAGAACCAGAUGAUUUGUUCAUGAAAAUUUAAAUCAUGUUCAUACUAGAAGCUGAAAUUUCUUUUCGGGGUUGUUAUUUGAGGAUUCUCCCACCAGCCUCCACCAAUAUUUUUUCAUGAUAUUCGUGGCAGGUGACAAUUUAUUUUCUGUUUUUUUCUUUUUUUUUCUUUAUAACUCUAACUGAAAGACAGCACGAGGUCUGUGGUUGUUGUUUGUAAUGUUGAUACCUAUGGCAGAUUAAGUGACCAUUCAUUAGAAAAAGCCACAGAAGGCCCUGGGUCCAAAAGACGAAUGCCCUUCCCGGCUUCCACCAUGGACUCUGCCUGCAAGAACUUUACCCCCAGCAGGAAAUCAGUUACGAAAACAAGCACACGUUUCAACGGGCUGAAGAAACGUGCCGGUCUGCCUGCAGCACGGGAUAUUAGCCGACUGUUCCUCGCACACAGGGCUGGCUUUGCUUUUGCUUGGCUGUCGAGGUGACACAUGCACACGAGUGGAACCUCUGUGCCUAGCACUGUGCUGGGACUCUGGGGGGAUGCACAGGUGAGCAGGUGCAGCCCACGCUGUCAGGAAUACCCUGAGAACCUGGCAACACUCCCGGGACUCAAGAAGGCAGGUGGGAUGAGAACUACAACAGAGGUGCAAAUGUUUACACCUAGAAGAUUUCACUACCAAAGCUGCUACUUUGGAGUAUCUGAUGAAUAA